This 253-nucleotide ribosomal RNA is filed under the name uncultured bacterium. RNAcentral's name for it is "partial 16S ribosomal RNA". It matches the Rfam family "Bacterial small subunit ribosomal RNA", at positions 524 to 776 of the family's 1533-position model. The record is from RNAcentral.
UACGUAGGGGGCGAGCGUUGUUCGGAUUUACUGGGCGUAAAGGGCGCGCAGGCGGCUCAUUUUGUCAGGCGUGAAAGCCCCGGGCUUAACCUGGGAACUGCGUUUGAUACGGGUGGGCUAGAGUUCGGGAGAGGAGAGUGGAAUUCCCAGUGUAGAGGUGAAAUUCGUAGAUAUUGGGAAGAACACCGGUGGCGAAGGCGGCUCUCUGGACCGAUACUGACGCUGAGGCGCGAAAGCCAGGGGAGCAAACAGG